UGUGGUCUUUAUCGAAGUCGUCCCUGUUACUUGUAGCAGGUACGGUCAAAAAGAGACCUAUAGUAUUACUUUUACCGACGGUCGCUGUACGACUGCUACAUUAGUCGUUUCAGCAACAUUAAAUGAAAGGACAAAC
Electrophorus electricus (electric eel) is the source of this 136-nucleotide small nucleolar RNA. Lineage: Eukaryota; Metazoa; Chordata; Actinopteri; Gymnotiformes; Gymnotidae. The record is from Ensembl.